AUAAGAUCAAUGGCUUGCCAGAUUGGUAAAGGUCUGGAUACUCUCAAGCGGCUACUGGCUUGAAGCUGUGAGUAGCUUUCAGAGUUUCUGGUUCUUAAUCCCUAUUGCCACAGGUUGAUGAAAUACACCCCUCUGCACAUAUUUUGAAUAAAUGUGUCUGGUCGGACUAGUCUUUUUAUCAGAUCGUUCUUAGGUUAAAGUUGAAGAAGUCAUAUUAUAAGUGACAGAAAAGUUGAAUC
This 239-nucleotide long non-coding RNA is filed under the name Selaginella moellendorffii. RNAcentral's name for it is "long non-coding RNA (SMOE_LNC001291)". The record is from RNAcentral. Lineage: Eukaryota; Viridiplantae; Streptophyta; Lycopodiopsida; Selaginellales; Selaginellaceae.